This 497-nucleotide ribosomal RNA is filed under the name uncultured bacterium. RNAcentral describes it as "partial 16S ribosomal RNA". It matches the Rfam family "Bacterial small subunit ribosomal RNA", at positions 28 to 507 of the family's 1533-position model. The record is from RNAcentral.
GAUGAACGCUGGCGGCGUGCCUAAUACAUGCAAGUAGAACGCUGAAGCUUGGUGCUUGCACCGAGCGGAUGAGUGGCGAACGGGUGAGUAACGCGUAGGUAACCUGCCUCUUAGCGGGGGAUAACUAUUGGAAACGAUAGCUAAUACCGCAUCAAAGUCGAUAUCGCAUGAUAUUGAUUUGAAAGGGGCAAUUGCAUCACUAAGAGAUGGACCUGCGUUGUAUUAGCUAGUUGGUGAGGUAACGGCUCACCAAGGGAACGAUACAUAGCCGACCUGAGAGGGUGAUCGGCCACACUGGGACUGAGAAACGGCCCAGACUCCUACGGGAGGCAGCCGUAGGGAAUCUUCGGCAAUGGGGGCAACCCUGACCGAGCAACGCCGCGUGAGUGAAGAAGGGUUUCGGAUCGUAAAGCUCUGUUGUAAGAGAAGAACGAGUGUGAGAGUGGAAAGUUCACACUGUGACGGUAACUUACCAGAAAGGGACGGCUAACUACGUG